RNAcentral lists this long non-coding RNA (519 nucleotides) under Ananas comosus (pineapple). RNAcentral's name for it is "long non-coding RNA (ACOM_LNC014927)". Lineage: Eukaryota; Viridiplantae; Streptophyta; Magnoliopsida; Poales; Bromeliaceae. The record is from RNAcentral.
AACAUAGGGACAUAGUGAUAGGCCAUUGGAUAUCGACUAUAUUCCGUAUUUUAGACAUAAUGACAUAGUGAUAGGCCAUCGACACAGUUGCUAUAUUUCAUGUUUUAGACAUGAUGACUUGAGACUUGUGACAAACUUAUACGUUUACUUGCCUUUGUGCUCAUUCGCACAUGCUUGUGAGGGUCGCUCCCUACAAGUCGGCACUCCGGAGAUAGCCAUCGCGAUACAUACUUGCCGUGCGGGAUUGGGCGCCGAAGUGGAUUGCCGUGGGCAAGGCUCAUUCCUAGAGUGGGGAUGUUGACUACCACGGGGCCAUUAGGCACGGCACCGGCCAGACAGCCUACGGGUGGGUCUUCAGGCCAGACAGCCUUCGGGUGGGUCUUACAAGAUUUAAACUUUAAAUAGUUAACACGCCAUGUGGACAUUAACUAUAAUAAUAAACAAUGACAUUUUACUAAUACAUUGUGGACAUUAUGUUGGUUGUAUACUUGCAGAUAUUCAUGAUAGAAUAGCUUUCUU